CCUACGGGUGGCAGCAGUGAGGAAUAUUGGUCAAUGGACGAGAGUCUGAACCAGCCAAGUAGCGUGAAGGAUGACUGCCCUAUGGGUUGUAAACUUCUUUUAUAUGGGAAUAAAACGUUCCACGUGUGGGAUUUUGUAUGUACCAUAUGAAUAAGGAUCGGCUAACUCCGUGCCAGCAGCCGCGGUAAUACGGAGGAUCCGAACGUUAUCCGGAUUUAUUGGGUUUAAAGGGAUCGUAGGGUGAUUUGUAAGUCCGGUGUGAAAGUUUGCGGCCCAACCGUAAAAUUGCAGUUGAAACUGGCAGUCUUGAGUACAGUAGAGGUGGGCGGAAGUCGUGGUGUAGCGGUGAAAUGCUUAGAUAUCACGAAGAACUCCGAUUGCGAAGGCAGUUCACUGGACUGCAACUGACACUGAGGCUCGAAAGUGUGGGUAUCAAACAGGAUUAGAUACCCGAGUAGUC
This 460-nucleotide ribosomal RNA is filed under the name uncultured bacterium. Its description in RNAcentral is "partial 16S ribosomal RNA". It matches the Rfam family "Bacterial small subunit ribosomal RNA", at positions 338 to 795 of the family's 1533-position model. The record is from RNAcentral.